Molecule: long non-coding RNA, 397 nt
Filed under: Homo sapiens (human)
Lineage: Eukaryota; Metazoa; Chordata; Mammalia; Primates; Hominidae
Description: HSALNT0383652
Source: RNAcentral
ACACUACAAGGCUGUUUACCAAGCCUGCUGGAGCCUCUGAAGGGCAGCAGCCAGCUCACCCCCCAUGCCCUGGAUGGCAACAAGGCACAGGAGACCGCAGAGCAUACAAACAGGGCAAGAGGAAACCAUCUAUCAAUGACCAGGGACCAGAGGAAGCAAAGUUCUAACAUCUCGCUCACGUUCUCCCAAGGCCCAGAGCACUCCUCUUCUUGGUGGAUACCAAUGCACUUUGAGAAGAAGCAGGAAUGCAUGUAUUUCUAAACAAUGAACUUUGGAGAAAUUAACAGGCAAAGGAUCAAGUACUACUAAUAUAAAAAUGAAAAGGUAAAUUAAACCCAAAGAGAGAUAGCUGCUUGGCUGGUCUGCCUAAAAGGGAGUCAAUCUCACUUUAAAUCAG